UAGGGAAUCUUCCGCAAUGGGCGAAAGCCUGACGGAGCAACGCCGCGUGAGUGAUGAAGGUCUUCGGAUCGUAAAACUCUGUUAUUAGGGAAGAACAAAUGUGUAAGUAACUAUGCACGUCUUGACGGUACCUAAUCAGAAAGCCACGGCUAACUACGUGCCAGCAGCCGCGGUAAUACGUAGGUGGCAAGCGUUAUCCGGAAUUAUUGGGCGUAAAGCGCGCGUAGGCGGUUUUUUAAGUCUGAUGUGAAAGCCCACGGCUCAACCGUGGAGGGUCAUUGGAAACUGGAUAACUUGAGGGCAGAAGAGGAAAGUGUAAUUCCAUGUGUGGCGGUGAAAUGCGCAGAGAUAUGGAGGAACACCAGUGGCGAAGGCGACUUUCUGGUCUGUAACUGACGCUGAUGUGCGAAAGCGUGGGGAUCAAACAGG
This 429-nucleotide ribosomal RNA is filed under the name Actinomycetes bacterium. RNAcentral describes it as "Actinobacteria bacterium partial 16S ribosomal RNA". It matches the Rfam family "Bacterial small subunit ribosomal RNA", at positions 355 to 776 of the family's 1533-position model. Lineage: Bacteria; Bacillati; Actinomycetota; Actinomycetes. The record is from RNAcentral.